CAAAGGUCUAGUGUGGUAAACCUUGUGAUUUCUGGACUUACCUCUGGCCUCAACUGUAUCACUCCAAGUCUCUCCCACACAAGAUCGUAGGUUGAGAACCACCAGACGAGAGAAUUCCUGGAGAGCUUCUGGUCUUCAGUCCUUGUUGGAAACCCAAACACAUAGCUUCUAAUAUUGGUGGAGGAAUGCCACAGCAAAGGGAUAAACUUGCCACAAGAGUGUGGAUGAACCAAGCAGGAUCUCCACGACUCUCGGCAGCUGUGGGAGACCCCAGGGAGUGUCCCUGAGGAUACAGUGAGGACAGUGUACCAGAAACCAGAGGCCUUCAACCUGACCAAUGACUCACUGCAAUGAGCAUUUGCUAGUAAAGCUGAUUGGACAAAAGGGUAUAUAUGCCAUGUGACACACCACCCCCAAUGCCAUCAGGAAGAAUGAAGAGGUGUUGGAGAAGCGGGAAAGAUGGAGAAGCAAAGAGGUUUUGUUGUUGUUGUUGUUUUUGUUUGCUUGCUUGCUUUGUUUUGUUUUGAUUCGAUUUUUUAAAAUUUUCUUUUGGGGGCUGCUACAGGGGUGAAUUACAGUGCUACAGGGAGGAUUACGGUGGGGACCGGGAGGUGAGUGGGUGAGUGGAAUUGAGAUGCAUGAUGUGAAAUUCCCAAAGAAUUAAUAAAGAAAUUAAAUUUAAAAAAUAUUUUUUAAAAAAGUGAGGACAAGCAGGCAAAAGUUACAUUUAGCAUGGCCUUCCUCUGAAUAAUCAAGUUGAGAAAAUUCCGCCGCCCCCCCCCCCAACCAGGGUGUCCAGCAAGUUGUGUGUUAGUUCAUUCCAGGUCCAGUCAAGUUGUCAACCAAAAUUAACCAGGCAUCCAGCAUGGCAAACUUGGGUCCUUUACCGAUCUCUGCCAAUCAGAAUUUAUACCCGUUUACCCUGAAUCUGGAAGCUGGUAAGUGAGAAUCGGUUGCAGGGAACACGUUCGGAAUCAGAGUAGCUUCUCUCAAUAGAAUAGCAGCUCCAAGAGGGAAAGGAAUGUUGUUUGCUCACUGCUCUCAUUCAAAAGCAGUAAAUGGCAAGUGUUUCUUCAACAGAUGGAUCAAGAACUCUGGGAAUGUCUCUGAAUUCAAGUCUUGGAAAUCCUUAGUCACAGUCUUGGUUAAAACUCAUAAAAUAACCAUUGUUCCACAUUCUGUGCUGCUGAGAUCUGAUCUAAGAUGUUGCCAAAGCUGCUGCAAAUAUCUGGAUGUCACCAGAACCUCAGGAAGAAUGCCACCUUUUUUUGUCAAGGAUGUACAGAAGCUGCAACUGAAUGUGGCAUACUAUUUGGUGUUUGCUGAAUGAGUGGAUUAGCUCACAACAUCUGCAGAGUAUGCACCUCUAAGAGUGUGUAGAGCCUGAACAAAAGCAAUGGCCAAAGGAUAUGUGAAGAGAAAGUCACCCCUCGGACCACACACUGAAGGCUGAUAAAGCCACCCACAUGCAACUCCAUCCUGAAAGAAAUACCAGUGUGCAGUAUAACCAGUGAGAGCCGCAGGA
This is a long non-coding RNA of Peromyscus eremicus (cactus mouse), 1525 nucleotides long. RefSeq lists it as uncharacterized. The record is from RefSeq and is a predicted model, not a curated record. The transcript has 3 exons. NCBI's taxonomy places the organism in Eukaryota, Metazoa, Chordata, Mammalia, Rodentia, Cricetidae.